GGGCAGGAUAGUCUAGUGGUUAGGGUGUUUCGACUCCCACCCGAAUGAUUCUGGGUUCGAACCCCAAAUGUCUGCGGUCUA
Non-coding RNA from Merluccius polli (Benguela hake), 81 nucleotides. NCBI's taxonomy places the organism in Eukaryota, Metazoa, Chordata, Actinopteri, Gadiformes, Merlucciidae. The record is from the annotation of a GenBank genome assembly.